CCUCUGAAAUGUUGGUUAGCAUCGACCAGACUACACAGCGCAACAACCCAGAAAUCUUCAAGAAUUGAAGGAUUACUUCGGAGACAGUAAAAGUAAUUUUCAUGGUAUCACCAGGACAUGACAUGCCUGGGUCAUGGAUAGUGGAGAAGGGCAUCCAGAUGUGCAGCGUAGUUGUGUGAAUUCAUGUGCAAGAGGUCCCUUUCCAUCAGCCCAUCUGUCAUCAAUGUCUCUCAGACUAGCCCCCAAAAUGAGAACCAGUUCUCUGAACUUCUGCCAUCUUCUUACAAACUGAUGCACUUCGCUGGGUUCCUAAGAGAAACAGUUUUGCAGUACACUAUGGCAGGCAGAACAUCCUUCCAAACUGUCUGGAGUAAUUCCAGCUGCCGCAAACAUUGUUGAACAGCUCUCUCUAUGCUUGGUGUAAUGUUUGGAUCCUCUCCAAGUGUUGCUAAACCUGUACAAAUGUCAAAAUGCUUUGUGUCCACCGAUUCUUCUUUUACUAGCUCCACUGAUGGAAUCUGCCAAGAAAAAAUGCCACUUCACUCGACAUAACAUUUUAGUGAUGGACUGGACAAACAUUUGAGUAUUUGCUACUAGGAAAGGGAACUGCAUUUAUCCCUCAACUGGAAUAAUAUAUUCAAACUGGACUGAAAUUUCAGAGAGUAGUGAACUGAUUAUAAUUUCAGUACAAUUGGAUCUGUAUUCUGUUUAAAUUAUAAUAAAAUUGUAUUUAUUCUUCUAGCAUA
This is a non-coding RNA of Zootermopsis nevadensis, 746 nucleotides long. The record is from RefSeq and is a predicted model, not a curated record. Lineage: Eukaryota; Metazoa; Arthropoda; Insecta; Blattodea; Termopsidae.